GAUGAACGCUGGCGGCGUGCCUAAUACAUGCAAGUCGAGCGAACAGACGAGGAGCUUGCUCCUCUGACGUUAGCGGCGGACGGGUGUGUAACACGUGGAUAACCUACCUAUAAGACUGGGAUAACUUCGGGAAACCGGAGCUAAUACCGGAUAAUAUAUUGAACCGCAUGGUUCAAUAGUGAAAGACGGUUUUGCUGUCACUUAUAGAUGGAUCCGCGCCGCAUUAGCUAGUUGGUAAGGUAACGGCUUACCAAGGCAACGAUGCGUAGCCGACCUGAGAGGGUGAUCGGCCACACUGGAACUGAGACACGGUCCAGACUCCUACGGGAGGCAGCAGUAGGGAAUCUUCCGCAAUGGGCGAAAGCUUGACGGAGCAACGCCGCGUGAGUGAUGAAGGUCUUCGGAUCGUAAAACUCUGUUAUUAGGGAAGAACAAAUGUGUAAGUAACUAUGCACGUCCUGACGGUACCUAAUCAGAAAGCCACGGCUAACUACGUG
Molecule: ribosomal RNA, 497 nt
Filed under: uncultured bacterium
Lineage: Bacteria
Description: partial 16S ribosomal RNA
Rfam family: Bacterial small subunit ribosomal RNA
Source: RNAcentral